Long non-coding RNA from Canis lupus familiaris (dog), 1583 nucleotides. RefSeq lists it as uncharacterized. NCBI's taxonomy places the organism in Eukaryota, Metazoa, Chordata, Mammalia, Carnivora, Canidae. The transcript is spliced from 5 exons. The record is from RefSeq and is a predicted model, not a curated record.
UCCCCUCCCAGGGACGCUGACUCCCCCGCCCAGCCGCGCCGCCCCCCGACUGCUAGGGAGCUGGUGUUCCCCGUGGGCCCCUCCCUGACGCCCACCGGCCUCCCUCCUCUUCCGGGCCUUGCUGGUCACGCCCUGUAACCCUGCAGCACCCUGACUUUACAGGCGUUUUCCCCUUUUCUCCUGAUCUGACGCUUCUAAAGCCGCAAGUACUCAGCUCGGGUUGGCAGAUGGGCUUUCAGGGCCGCCUGCCUGCAUUCCCAUACUUGCUUGUAGGGAUUAAAGACACAGGUGUGCUAACCUAGAAAACCCGGGAAGAUGCUCAGGACGCAUCCACGGAACCGUCCUUAGGCUGCGCAGCUCGUGUGUCGUCUUACAGUCGGGGAUACGCAGUGACAGGCCAGGAGGGGCCGUGGGACAGGCUCAGGUGUCGGAUUUGAAGCCGCUCUUGGCGGAUAAUAAAGUUGCUCUCCUGAGAGGAAGAAGAGAAUACUGAGGGGAUGAAGCUAGAAACUCAAAGAAAUAGAAAGGGAAGCAGCCAAACAGGAAACCCGGGAAGAUGUGGGAAACACCAGGUCUGGGUCUGUUACCCGCGCUCAGUGUUUCAUCCCGAAAGCCACAGUCUUCCUGGUGGCCUUUUUGGUGUUUUCACAGAAGUUCUAACCACUGAUGGUGACGGGAACAUGCUCAUGGGGAAUGGAUGCCCGGUCAUCUUGGGGCUUGCAGCGGUGCUUGAAAGUACAUCCUCCAUCUCAAAAGAGAAUCCGGGCCAGGAUAAUCUUGUUAUCAGGUGAUAGCCUGAAAAGCUCCUUUUGUCCAGGGAGACAAAGAGGAAGCCUGAUGGCGAGCCUGAGGUGGAGUCUCCUUUGAACCGUCUGGUGCUGUGAGCUGUGAGCGAGGCCGGCGCAGGGCUCGCCUCGCGCUGACUGGGAUGUGCGCUUUAGAAUCCGGUAGCUUGACUUACGUCGCUCUGAGUGUAUUUCAUGUGUUUCAUAUUCAUUUUGAAUGAGGCGCCUGGCCUUGAACUAGGGGACUUGUUUAAUUUGAUGUGUUCUCAGAGCUAUGUCAAGUUGAGUUUACUAGUUUUCUAUAGUCUCCGAGGAGAGGCCGGGGAGGUGGGCUGAGGCCUCCCGCAGGCACCCUGCGUGUCCCCGCUGGGAGGUGUGUGCUCACCUCCGCGUGGGCAUGUGUGCAUCAAGGCUCACACCCUCCAGGUUGCUGAUUUGUGCAGGUGGCAGAAAUGCGGUUGUAAGGAGGACAUGAUCCAAACGGUGAACACUGCUGACAUUUUACGGAGCCGCUUGGUCCGCCGGAUGGAAACACGUGUGCCGUGGAUUCGGCUCCUGGGCCAACUGUGUUCAGCCUCAUGCUGGGGCGGAGGCUCGGUUUCCCUCUGUGCCUGAUGUUCCGUUCCAGCUCUCUUUUUCUCUCAUGGAAAAUGUCAGAAAGUUCCAGAAGCCUUUAUUUUGUGUUUCUUUUAAUUGUGAUAAAACGGGAUCCCUGGGUGGCUCAGUGGUUGAGCGUCUGCCUUCAGCUCAGGGCAUGACCCCAGGUUCCUGGGAUCGAGUCCCGCAUCAGGCUCCCUG